CCCUGACCUGUAUAUUUGUUAUUUUGCCUAGGCACAAAUCUGAGUUACUCAGCCGCUACUGAGUGAACCCAGUGGAUGUAGUGGAUGGCCCAGUACCGACGUCCCAGGACGGCUGGCUGUUCUUUCCUGUUUAUGACAGACAUAGUAACUAAUAAGUGAUGUAAAACAUUCUUUGUAAAUAAAUGCUCUGUAUUCAUGACGCUGACCCUCUCAAAUGUCUAAGGAGGGACUCUCCAUGAGUGACAUGUUUUAUGUUAAAAGUAUUUAUUUGCAAUCAGGGACUUUGGUCUGUGGUGGCCAUUUCUAAAAGCUGUCUAACAUGUCUUUAAAUACCAUGCCCGGAAGUGGCUUCCUUUUAUGUAAGUCUCAGUUUCUGGUUCCUGGAAGUUGCUGAUUCCAACAGCACCUGAUGCCUACAAGUCAUCUGAGGGAUGUGUGGCCAAGAAUGGAUGACAACCACGUUUUACUGGGACACCAAAGCAAGUUGCAGUCUGAACUGCAGCCACACCCUGCAAUGGCCCCAAAGCAUGCAACAGAAACAGAAUUUGCACUUGAUUAUCCAGUGUGGUGUGGCUAUUUCCUGUAACACAGGUCCAGAGUUCCCAAAGCCUCUCUUCCCCAAUACUUCGGUAAGCAAGAAAAUUAACACAGGGACACAGGGAAAGGCAGAUCCAGACUUAGAACCAGAGUAAGUACUUAUCAGUUUUGCUCACACUAGUUCCAGACAAGUUUUGGCUUACUCCGAGACAAGGAAAGCUUCUAAAAGAGAGAUUAUUUUCAAGGCCCCCUGAAAGAUCUUGACCUUGCAUUAGGUAAAAGUUAAUUCAUUUCACAAGUCAUCCAAUCUAAGCAGUAAUUGUACAAAUACUGUAACAUACUCGAAUAAUUAGACUAUUAAUACUUCUGGAGGCUAAUCCUAAAGUUGACAAAGUAAUUCUGCCCAAUUCUAGAAUGAUGAUCUUGCCCAUCAUUGAAUCUGUUUGCAAGUCUACCACAGUCUAAGAAUUUGUCCAAAAUCUGUAAUGAAGCCUUGGUAUAGAUAUAUGAUACCUCUUAAGUAUUAAGAAUAGAGGUGAGGCGAGGUGGCUCAUGCCUGUAAUCCCAGCA
Molecule: long non-coding RNA, 1107 nt
Filed under: Aotus nancymaae (Ma's night monkey)
Lineage: Eukaryota; Metazoa; Chordata; Mammalia; Primates; Aotidae
Description: lncRNA (ENSANAG00000038887.1)
Source: RNAcentral